Molecule: ribosomal RNA, 467 nt
Filed under: uncultured bacterium
Lineage: Bacteria
Description: partial 16S ribosomal RNA
Rfam family: Bacterial small subunit ribosomal RNA
Source: RNAcentral
GAUGAAUGCUGGCGGCGUGCCUAACACAUGCAAGUCGAGCGGCAGCGCGAGUAGUUUACUACUUGGCGGCGAGCGGCGGACGGCUGAGUAACGCGUGGGAACGUGCCCCAAAGUGAGGAAUAACUGCCCGAAAGGGUGGCUAAUGCCGCAUAUGAUCUUCGGAUUAAAGUCUUCGGACGCUUUGGGAGCGGCCCGCGUCGGAUUAGGUUGUUGGUGAGGUAAUGGCUCACCAAGCCGACGAUCCGUAGCUGGUCUGAGAGGAUGAUCAGCCAGACUGGGACUGAGACACGGCCCAGACUCCUACGGGAGGCAGCAGUGAGGAAUCUUCCACAAUGGGCGAAAGCCUGAUGGAGCAACGCCGCGUGCAGGAUGAAGGCCUUCGGGUUGUAAACUGCUUUUAUAAGUGAAGGAUAUGACGGUAACUUAUGAAUAAGCACCGGCUAACUACGUGCCAGCCGCCGCUGUAA